UGGGGAAUAUUGGACAAUGGGGGGAACCCUGAUCCAGCCAUGCCGCGUGUGUGAAGAAGGCCUUAUGGUUGUAAAGCACUUUAAGCGAGGAGGAGGGUACUGGUAUUAAUACUACCAGGUACUGGACGUUACUCGCAGAAUAAGCACCGGCUAACUCUGUGCCAGCAGCCGCGGUAAUACAGAGAGUGCGAGCGUUAAUCGGAUUUACUGGGCGUAAAGCGCGCGUAGGUGGUUCGUUAAGUUGAAUGUGAAAGCCCCGGGCUCAACCUGGGAACUGCAUCCAAAACUGGCGAGCUAGAGUAGGGCAGAGGGUGGUGGAAUUUCCUGUGUAGCGGUGAAAUGCGUAGAUAUAGGAAGGAACACCAGUGGCGAAGGCGACCACCUGGGCUCAUACUGACACUGAGGUGCGAAAGCGUGGGGAGCAAACAGG
This 430-nucleotide ribosomal RNA is filed under the name Pseudomonadota bacterium. RNAcentral describes it as "Proteobacteria bacterium partial 16S ribosomal RNA". It matches the Rfam family "Bacterial small subunit ribosomal RNA", at positions 355 to 776 of the family's 1533-position model. The record is from RNAcentral. Lineage: Bacteria; Pseudomonadati; Pseudomonadota.